RNAcentral lists this transfer RNA (75 nucleotides) under Bacteroidota bacterium. RNAcentral describes it as "tRNA-Pro". It matches the Rfam family "tRNA". From Rfam's summary of the family: Transfer RNA (tRNA) molecules are approximately 80 nucleotides in length. The record is from RNAcentral. RNAcentral also lists the same sequence under 4 other names. Lineage: Bacteria; Pseudomonadati; Bacteroidota.
CGAGGUGUGGCGCAGUCCGGUUAGCGCACCUGCUUUGGGAGCAGGGGGCCGCAGGUUCGAAUCCUGCCACCUCGA